Molecule: ribosomal RNA, 377 nt
Filed under: bacterium a25(2011)
Lineage: Bacteria
Description: SSU rRNA
Rfam family: Bacterial small subunit ribosomal RNA
Source: RNAcentral
GAUGGAGCAACGCCGCGUGAGUGAAGAAGGUUUUCGGAUCGUAAAACUCUGUUGUAAGGGAAGAACACAUACGAGAGUAACUGCUCGUAUCUUGACGGUACCUUAUUAGAAAGCCACGGCUAACUACGUGCCAGCAGCCGCGGUAAUACGUAGGUGGCAAGCGUUGUCCGGAAUUAUUGGGCGUAAAGCGCGCGCAGGCGGUUCUUUAAGUCUGAUGUGAAAGCCCACGGCUCAACCGUGGAGGGUCAUUGGAAACUGGAGAACUUGAGUACAGAAGAGGAAAGCGGAAUUCCACGUGUAGCGGUGAAAUGCGUAGAGAUGUGGAGGAACACCAGUGGCGAAGGCGGCUUUCUGGUCUGUAACUGACGCUGAGGCGC